RNAcentral lists this non-coding RNA (182 nucleotides) under Deltaproteobacteria bacterium. Its description in RNAcentral is "6S RNA". It matches the Rfam family "6S / SsrS RNA". Rfam says of the family: E. coli 6S RNA was the first non coding RNA to be sequenced, but its function was unknown until recently. It consists of 184 nucleotides that fold into an extended hairpin structure with a large single-stranded internal bulge. The record is from RNAcentral. Lineage: Bacteria; Pseudomonadati; Myxococcota; Myxococcia.
AAUAGCCUGCGGUGUGCGGGAAUCGAANCUUUUGCUNCCUAACACGUCAGCGAGGGNCAGUCCCUGAAGGGGGUGUGCCAGCCUUCCACAAUCAGGAGGAACGCCUCAUCCCUUCACACCGCACCCCAUUUUUUGGGGGCCAGGUACAAAAGCCCUAUUUGACACGGCACUGCGGGCUAUUC